Molecule: ribosomal RNA, 123 nt
Filed under: Yarrowia sp.
Lineage: Eukaryota; Fungi; Ascomycota; Dipodascomycetes; Dipodascales
Description: partial small subunit ribosomal RNA
Rfam family: Eukaryotic small subunit ribosomal RNA
Source: RNAcentral
CCUUUGUACACACCGCCCGUCGCUACUACCGAUUGAAUGGUUUAGUGAGGCAUUGGGAGAGUUUGAUAAUGGGGGCGACCCCGUUUGAGUACUUGAACUUUGUCAAACUUGAUUAUUUAGAGG